This is a non-coding RNA of Oncorhynchus mykiss (rainbow trout), 2816 nucleotides long. Lineage: Eukaryota; Metazoa; Chordata; Actinopteri; Salmoniformes; Salmonidae. The record is from RefSeq and is a predicted model, not a curated record.
UACUUCUACGUCCGGUUACUCGAUUUGAUUGGAAGACGGAGCACACUCCCCUGUCAUACGUCACUACUGCGCUCCCCUCAACCCGGACAGACAUGGCGGCGUACAUGAUCACUUCAACCCUGCGAAGAGUUUUGCUUGUUGCUAAGCAUGCCUCUUUCCAGUCCAGAUGCUGUGUGGCGUCCAGUCGAGUCCAGUACUCCACUGUUUAUGAUUCCAAUGAGAAGACCUUUGAUAAGAUCCUUAUUGCAAACAGAGGAGAGAUCGCCUGCAGGGUGAUGAAAACAUGUAAGAAGAUGGGUAUCAAAACAGUGGCGGUGCACAGUGAUGUCGACGCCAGCGCGGUCCAUGUGAAGAUGGCUGACGAGGCAGUGUGUGUAGGCCCCGCCCCCACCAACAAGAGCUACCUCAACAUGGACGCCAUCAUGGACGCUAUCAGGAAGACUGGAUCCCAGGCCGUGCAUCCAGGCUACGGUUUUCUGUCUGAAAAUAAAGAGUUUGCCAAGAGACUGGCAGCAGAAGACGUGGUGUUCAUAGGACCGGACACCCACGCCAUCCAUGCCAUGGGCGACAAGAUCGAGAGCAAGCUCCUAGCCAAGGCAGCCAAUGUCAACGUCAUCCCUGGGUUCGACGGGGUCGUCGAGAACGUGGAGGACGCUGUGAAGAUUGCAGGAGACAUCGGCUACCCGGUGAUGAUCAAGGCCUCAGCAGGAGGAGGGGGAAAAGGCAUGAGGAUCGCCUGGAACGAUGAUGAGACCAGGGAAGGUUUUCGUUUGUCCUCACAGGAGGCUGCGUCUAGUUUCGGAGACGACCGUCUGCUGAUAGAGAAGUUUGUAGACAACCCCAGACACAUUGAGAUCCAGGUCCUGGCUGAUAAGCAUGGUAAUGCUCUGUGGCUGAACGAGAGGGAGUGUUCUAUCCAGAGGAGGAACCAGAAGGUGGUGGAGGAGGCUCCAAGUACGUUCCUGGACCCAGAGACGCGUCGUGCGAUGGGGGAGCAAGCGGUACAGCUGGCUAAAGCAGUCCACUACUCCUCUGCCGGGACCGUAGAGUUCUUGGUGGACUCCAACAAGAACUUCUACUUCCUGGAGAUGAACACUCGCCUUCAGGUGGAGCACCCAAUCACAGAGUGCAUCACUGGUCUGGACCUGGUGCAGCAGAUGAUCCGUGUGGCCAAGGGUUUCCCUCUGCUACACAAACAGGAAGACAUCCCCAUCAACGGCUGGGCUAUAGAGAGCCGAGUCUACGCUGAGGACCCCUACAAGUCCUUUGGCCUGCCCUCCAUUGGACGCCUGUCACAGUACCAGGAACCCAUCAACCUCCCAAAGGUGCGUGUGGACAGUGGCAUCCAAGAAGGAAGUGACAUCAGUAUCUACUAUGACCCAAUGAUCUCCAAGCUGGUGACCUAUGGCGCCACGCGCGCUGAAGCCCUGCAGAGGAUGGAGGCGGCUCUCGAUAACUAUGUCAUCAGAGGUGUGACCCACAACAUCCCCCUGCUCAGAGAGAUCAUCACCCACCCUCGCUUCAUCUCUGGUGACAUCACCACUAACUUCCUGCCAGAGGAAUACCCAGAGGGGUUCAAAGGUCACCAGCUGACCUCCGAGGGUCGCAGGGAGCUCGUCUCCACCGCAGCCGCUCUCUACGUCUCCGCACAGCUCCGCUCCCAGAGGUUCCUGGGUAAUCUCAGGGUGUCCACCACCCCCCAGGAGCAGAGGCAGUGGGAGCUGUGUGUGGAGUUGGAGAAGGGAAGCCACACGGUCGCUGUGUCACGCUCUGGAUCCACGUUCACUGUGGAGGUGGAUGGAGUUACGGUGGAGGUUAGUGGAGAGUGGAACCUGGCCUCAGCCCUGCUGCCUGUCACCAUCAACAGAACCCCCAGGGUUCUACAGUGUCUGUCUAGAGACGCAGGAGGAGACAUCACUCUACAGUACCUGGGCACACAGUUUAAGGUGCGUGUUCUCAGUCAGCUGGUAUCCACGCUGAGCGCUCACAUGCCUGAGAAGGUUCCAGAAGACACCAGCAGCAUCCUGCGUUCUCCGAUGCCUGGCUCCGUGGUCGCCGUGUCUGUCAAACCUGGAGACGUGGUGGCUGAAGGCCAGGAGAUCUGUGUGAUCGAGGCCAUGAAGAUGCAGAACAGCUUGAUUGCUGCUAAAGCUGCCAAGGUGAAGAGUGUCCACUGUAAAGCAGGAGAGACGGUUGGAGAGGGAGACCUUCUGGUCCAACUGGAGUAGGAUCUAACCUACGACCUCUAACCUCUGCCCUCCCACCUCUGACCUCGCUCGCCAGGGAUUGGCUUCGAAGUCCGGUUGAAGGAAUUCUGGGACAAAGGAAUGAACAGGAUACUAGUAGACUAGAUGGACCGUUCCCCAGUCUCUCCUUGUUGUUUUGUUCUGAUGUAGGCUACACUCUCCAGUAUUGGCUUCUGGGAUUCGCUCGUUCUAGGAAUUUUCCUCUGAAAAAAACUGAAAAACAAGAUGGACGCCGUGGACCUGUUUUAGUGCCUUCAGCCUCUGAAAAGAGGAUUGUCCUGUUAAAUAUGAUGAACACUGUAUAUAUCACUUAGCUACAUGUCACUAAUCAUGUGUAAUGUUCUUCCUCACCAGCCUGGCGCCUCUCAUUUCAACGUAAAGAAACACUUGUGUAUCAGAGUUUAGAAACCUGGUUAUAGUAAAACGCUACUCUCUUAGGUGGAGUUACGUUUGUCUUUUUAAAGGAUAUGUCUCAACCCCAAUUUCAGCCUUUGUCUAACCCCUUGACAUUGUUAAGAAAAAAAUGCAUUCAGGUGAGAAGUUGUGGAUGUGGGGGGGACUUGCUCAUAA